RNAcentral lists this ribosomal RNA (439 nucleotides) under uncultured bacterium. RNAcentral's name for it is "partial 16S ribosomal RNA". It matches the Rfam family "Bacterial small subunit ribosomal RNA", at positions 339 to 795 of the family's 1533-position model. The record is from RNAcentral.
CUACGGGGCGCAGCAGUGGGGAAUAUUGCACAAUGGAGGAAACUCUGAUGCAGCAACGCCGCGUGGAGGAUGACACUUUUCGGGGCGUAAACUCCUUUUAUAUAGGAAGAAGAUGACGGUACUAUAUGAAUAAGCGCCGGCUAACUCCGUGCCAGCAGCCGCGGUAAUACGGAGGGCGCAAGCGUUACUCGGAAUCACUGGGCGUAAAGAGCGUGUAGGCGGAUUAAAAAGUCAGAAGUGAAAUCCUAUAGCUUAACUAUAGAACUGCUUCUGAAACUCUUAAUCUAGAAUAUGGGAGAGGUAGAUGGAAUUUCUGGUGUAGGGGUAAAAUCCGUAGAGAUCAGAAGGAAUACCGAUUGCGAAGGCGAUCUACUAGAACAUUAUUGACGCUGAGACGCGAAAGCGUGGGGAGCAAACAGGAUUAGAUACCCGUGUAGUC